GGGCCCGUAGCUUAGCACGGUAGAGCGCCCGGCUCUUAACCGGGUGGUCGCGGGUUCAAAUCCCGCCGGGCCCGCCA
Molecule: transfer RNA, 77 nt
Filed under: Thermoprotei archaeon
Lineage: Archaea; Thermoproteati; Thermoproteota; Thermoprotei
Description: tRNA-Lys
Rfam family: tRNA
About the family: Transfer RNA (tRNA) molecules are approximately 80 nucleotides in length. Their secondary structure includes four short double-helical elements and three loops (D, anti-codon, and T loops).
Source: RNAcentral